GAGGUUCCGGUUCACGCCGUGGCGACAGGCGCCUGGCGACCCGGCGACC
This 49-nucleotide non-coding RNA is filed under the name Actinocatenispora sera. RNAcentral's name for it is "L31-Actinobacteria ribosomal protein leader". It matches the Rfam family "L31-Actinobacteria ribosomal protein leader". The record is from RNAcentral. Lineage: Bacteria; Bacillati; Actinomycetota; Actinomycetes; Micromonosporales; Micromonosporaceae.